CCGCGGCUCACACUUGCUUAGGCCUGCCCCAGCCUCUACUGAAUUGAUGUGGCCGAAAAAGAAAAACAACUUCCUAAACUGCCUGUUUGAUAACCCCUCAAGCACAGCUCCUGGGCUACUC
This 121-nucleotide long non-coding RNA is filed under the name Peromyscus maniculatus bairdii (prairie deer mouse). RNAcentral describes it as "SPRY4-IT1 conserved region 2 (ENSPEMG00000006640.2)". It matches the Rfam family "SPRY4-IT1 conserved region 2". Lineage: Eukaryota; Metazoa; Chordata; Mammalia; Rodentia; Cricetidae. The record is from RNAcentral.